Molecule: ribosomal RNA, 478 nt
Filed under: uncultured bacterium
Lineage: Bacteria
Description: partial 16S ribosomal RNA
Rfam family: Bacterial small subunit ribosomal RNA
Source: RNAcentral
GAUGAACGCUGGCGGCGUGCUUAACACAUGCAAGUCGAACGGGAAACCUUUUAAUGAAGCUUCGGCAGAUUUAGCUGGUUUCUAGUGGCGGACGGGUGAGUAACGCGUGGGUAACCUUCCUUAUACAGGGGGAUAACAGUCAGAAAUGACUGCUAAUACCGCAUAAGCGCACAGGACCGCAUGGUCCGGUGUGAAAAACUCCGGUGGUAUAAGAUGGACCCGCGUUGGAUUAGCUUGUUGGUGGGGUAACGGCUCACCAAGGCGACGAUCCAUAGCCGGCAUGAGAGGGUGAACGGCCACAUUGGGACUGAGACACGGCCCAGACUACUACGGGAGGCAGCAGUGGGGAAUAUUGCAAAAUGGGGGAAACCCUGAUGCAGCGACGCCGCGUGAAGGAAGAAGUAUCUCGGUAUGUAAACUUCUAUAAGCAGGGAAGAUAGUGACGGUACCUGACGAAGAAGCCCCGGCUAACUACGUG